Molecule: non-coding RNA, 148 nt
Filed under: Macaca fascicularis (crab-eating macaque)
Lineage: Eukaryota; Metazoa; Chordata; Mammalia; Primates; Cercopithecidae
Also listed under: 3 other names
Source: Rfam by way of RNAcentral
GCUGGGCGUGGUGGCUCAUGCCUGUAAUUCCAGCACUUCGGGAGGCUGAGAUGGGAGGAUUGCUUGAGCCCAGCAGUUCGAGGCUGCAGUGAGACUUGAUAAUGCCACUGCACUCCAGCCUGGGUGACAGAGUGAGACCCCAUCUCUU